Molecule: ribosomal RNA, 497 nt
Filed under: uncultured bacterium
Lineage: Bacteria
Description: partial 16S ribosomal RNA
Rfam family: Bacterial small subunit ribosomal RNA
Source: RNAcentral
GACGAACGCUGGCGGCGUGCUUAACACAUGCAAGUCGAACGGUGAAACGCCUAGCUUUUUGGUGGGUGGGGAGCGGUGGCCAACGGGGUAGUAACACGAUAGUAACCUGCUCCCUCCUGCUGGAUAACGGCAUGAAAGUGUGGCUAAUACGGGAUAUGCUGGACCUGUCGCAUGAUGGGUCUGUGACAGAUUUUGUUUCGGUGGGGGAUGGGCUCGCGGCGGAUUAGCUUGUUGGUGGGGUGACGGCCUACCAAGGCGGCGAUGCGUAGCCGGCCUGAGAGGAUGGUCGGCCGCACUAGAAGGGAGACACGGUCCAGACUACUACGGGAGGCAGCAGUAGGGAAUAUUGUUGAAUGGUCGGAAGACUGAUGCAGCAACGCCGCGUGGGUGAGGAAGGACUUCUGCUGGUAAUGCACCUCUUUUGGGAGAGAAGAAGGGCUGCCUCAUUUGUGGGUGUGUUGACGGUACCUAAAGAAGAAGCGCCGGCUAACUACGUG